CAGUAGCCACGGGAAUACGUAGGGCGCAAGCGUUGUCCGGAAUUAUUGGGCGUAAAGAGCUCGUAGGCGGUCUGUCGCGUCUGGUGUGAAAUCCCGAGGCUCAACCUCGGGCUUGCAUCGGGUACGGGCAGACUAGAGUGCGGUAGGGGAGACUGGAAUUCCUGGUGUAGCGGUGGAAUGCGCAGAUAUCAGGAGGAACACCGAUGGCGAAGGCAGGUCUCUGGGCCGCAACUGACGCUGAGGAGCGAAAGCAUGGGGAGCGAACAGGAUUAGAUACCCCAGUAGUCCCUGUCUCUUAUAU
Molecule: ribosomal RNA, 301 nt
Filed under: uncultured bacterium
Lineage: Bacteria
Description: partial 16S ribosomal RNA
Rfam family: Bacterial small subunit ribosomal RNA
Source: RNAcentral